UAUCUUCUCUUUCUUCCUGCCUUGAACAGGAAUGUGGUGACUGGUGCUGUGGCAGCCAUCUUGCAACUAUGAGGCAGACACAGAGAGCAUUUCAGGGUCAAGAGUGGACAUAUAUCCUACUGUAUAGCACAGGAAACUGUAUCCCAUGUCUUGUGAUAGAACAUGAUGGAAGAUAACAUGAGAAGAAGAAUGUAUAUUAUAUGUAUCACUGGGUCACUUGGCUGUACAGCAGAAAUUGGUACAAUGCUGUAAAUCAACUAUAAUAAAAAAAAAAAGAAGUGGCCAUAUGCAACAAGUCUGAAAGUACUUUUAAAUCCGUUAUAUUUCUUUGUCAUUUGUUGAAGGCCGAAUGGUCCACCCACUAGUCAUUUUAACACUAGAGUCUUAAGACAAUGCCUCGUGUGGGAUGGGUUCUGUUGCCAAAAACUUUGUUCAUCUAUAACUGUUGGAGAAUGGGGCUCCACUAGAAACCUCUAAUGGGAAAGAGAACGGAAGCGAGAUGUCCAGCAGAGUACUGACCUUCUUCUCUGAACCGACGGACUUCUAGAAGUUUCUUCCACGUACUGAACGUUUGAGAAAUGCUCCUGAUAAUGUAAGUGCAAUUUGAUAGGUUUAUAAUAUGGUUAGUUCUUCAAAGUUCAGAAAAAAACCUAUAGUAAUUGUCUUGACCCAGAAUGGCAUGAAACAAUUCUUAUGACAGUUUGAUGACAAGGGUCUGAGGAAAGAGUUUUUAUGCAGCAAGAUCAUGUGUCUGCUUAAUUCUGUUGACAGUAAAAUAUGGAUUUCAGCUUAUUCUAUGGCUCGGAAAUACACUUUGUUGAAAUCAUAGUACCAUGUCUUUCUUUCCUAACACCACACAAGAUUACAGUAUGACUUGCAGAACGAACAUU
This 890-nucleotide long non-coding RNA is filed under the name Sus scrofa (pig). RNAcentral's name for it is "lncRNA (ENSSSCG00030047547.1)". Lineage: Eukaryota; Metazoa; Chordata; Mammalia; Artiodactyla; Suidae. The record is from RNAcentral.